This 253-nucleotide ribosomal RNA is filed under the name uncultured bacterium. Its description in RNAcentral is "partial 16S ribosomal RNA". It matches the Rfam family "Bacterial small subunit ribosomal RNA", at positions 524 to 776 of the family's 1533-position model. The record is from RNAcentral.
UACGUAGGUGGCAAGCGUUAUCCGGAUUUAUUGGGUGUAAAGGGCGUGUAGGCGGGAAUGCAAGCCAGAUGUGAAAACUCAGGGCUCAACCCUGAGCCUGCAUUUGAAACUGUAUUUCUUGAGUGCUGGAGAGGCAAUCGGAAUUCCGUGUGUAGCGGUGAAAUGCGUAGAUAUACGGAGGAACACCAGUGGCGAAGGCGGAUUGCUGGACAGUAACUGACGCUGAGGCGCGAAAGCGUGGGGAGCAAACAGG